AUGGUCGUGCCGCGCAUUCAUCGCAGACCUCACCGACUUAGGAUCGUAGGGAAAAGUGUGGACUAUGGUGGCCAUGGCACGUCUUCACCAACGAGUCAUGGCGUCGGCAACAAUAUUCAAGAUUUCGUGUUUCCUUCAUUUUCAAGCAUCUCUCUUUCAAGCGAUAUAUGCAGGUUCAUCAUUCAUGCGAGGGAUAUAAAAGAUGAAACAAAAGUAAAAGGUGUUUAUGCCUACAAAGGCAUUCUACUACUUGCAGUUUCUGUAGUUCAAUCAAACAGUACAAUUUUCAAAUUAUAUUUGUUAUGGUUAGAUAUAAAUUUUAAAAGUUUCGAGGUUCCAUGA
This 342-nucleotide ribosomal RNA is filed under the name Triticum aestivum (bread wheat). Its description in RNAcentral is "partial small subunit ribosomal RNA". Lineage: Eukaryota; Viridiplantae; Streptophyta; Magnoliopsida; Poales; Poaceae. The record is from RNAcentral.